GCUUGUCUCAAAGAUUAAGCCAUGCAUGUCUUAGUGUAAAUAACUCUUAUGAAACUGCGAAUGGCUCAUUAAAUCAGUUAUCGUUUAUUUGAUGGUCCCUUACUACAUGGAUAACCGUAGUAAUUCUAGAGCUAAUACAUGCACCAAGCCCUGACUUUGAAGGGGUGUAUUUAUUAGAUGGAAACCAAUGCGGGGCAACCCGGAAUCUGGUGAAUCAUAAUAACUUUCGGAUCGAUCUUCGGAUCGAUGCAUCAUUCAAGUUUCUGCCCUAUCAGCUUUGGAUGGUAGGGUAUUGGCCUACCAUGGCUUUAACGGGUAACGGAGAAUUAGGGUUCGAUUCCGGAGAGGGAGCCUGAGAAACGGCUACCACAUCCAAGGAAGGCAGCAGG
RNAcentral lists this ribosomal RNA (389 nucleotides) under Mallomonas annulata. RNAcentral's name for it is "partial small subunit ribosomal RNA". It matches the Rfam family "Eukaryotic small subunit ribosomal RNA", at positions 30 to 432 of the family's 1831-position model. The record is from RNAcentral. Lineage: Eukaryota; Synurophyceae; Synurales; Mallomonadaceae.